AGAUGAUGGCACAGUUCUUUGGAAGAAAAUAUAUUCGCGCAUUUGUCAGUGGGUUUUUUGUGGCAAUGCCAGUGACUGUGACUUUCCUUGAUCGUGUUGCUUACAUAGCAAGGGUGGAAGGCGUUUCAAUGCAGAUAUGGGUCACUGGCAGUAGGAUGAUUUUGGGAGGCUGAAGAGAUGCUGUGACCUUCUGCACUGGCUCUGAAGAUCUAAGCGAUGUUGGAGCAGUGACUGCAUCACCUUUUGUCAGUUUCUCUUAUUUCUUGAGGGCUGUGAAGGGCAAUUAUUUUGCAACCUGUGGUCAUCCUGUAUGAUGGGUGUGGGGUAUGAUGCCCUAGAUGUAUUAAUGUAGGUUGUGGAAUGGGGUAUAUUCCUGUUGACCCUGGGCCCUGGUUUCUGGGGCUUGAAUCAAGUGCUCCUCUCUCCAGUUUCUUAGUUACAUAUAUGUAAACAACUAUGGGCUCUUGUUCCUCAGCCUAGAAUAUGUAGAUAACUAUAUCGCUAAUGUCCAGCACUAAUUUGCUGACUAUGGGUAUUCACUGCUCCAGCACGUGUGUUCAUCAGCCUGAAGCGCCGUGGUCUCUCUGGCAGCGGUCAUGUGACCGCUGGGGGGGUAGCCCAUGUGACGCGGUGUGCACACUCAGUGAGCACCACUGAAUGCUGGCGCAUGUGCAGUGUGCUCCGCAUCUCAUUCUGUAAGUGUUGUAUUUUCUGCACAUAUGUCUUUAGUAUGGGUUACAUGAGGAUUGAUAGUACACUUGAUGCACUAAAAAAAAAGGAUAAAUGUUUACUGUGUACUUUUAUUCAAAAGAAGAUAGGGGAGAUUCAUCAAAACCUGUGCAGAAGAAAAGUUGCCCGUAGCAACCAGUCAGAUCGCUUCUUUCAUUUUGCAGAGGUAUUUUUAAAAAUGAAAGAAGCAAUCUGAUUGGUUACUAUGGGCAACUGGUCAAUUUUUCCUCUGGACAGGUUUUGAUCUCCCCAAUAUGAGUAUUUAACCCCUUAACGACUAGCGCCGUAAAUGUACGUCCUGGUGAGGUGGUACUUAAUGCACCAGGACGUACACGUCCUAAGCAUAACCGCGAGCAUCGGAGCGAUGCUCGGAUCGUGCAUGGCAGGUCCCGGCUGCUGAUCGCAGCCAGGGACCCGCCCAUAAUGGCGGACACCCGCGAUCCCGUGGAUGUCCGCCAUUAACCCCCCAGAUGCCGUGAUCAAUACAGAUCACAGCAUCUGCAGUGCUUCUGCGGCGAUCCGAUCAUCCAGCACUGCAGAUGGAGGUCCCCUCACCUGGCUCCGCUGCCUUCCCGGCAUCUUCUGCUCUGACCUGCCUUCCCGCAGACCAGAGCAGAAAAUGACCGAUAACCCUGAUCAGUGCUAUGUCCUAUACAUAGGACUGAACAGGAUUAGCAAUCGAGUGAUUGCUAUAAAUAGUCCCCUAUGGGGACUAUUAAAGUGUAAAAAUAAAAGUAAAAAAAGUUAAAAAAAAAUGUGAAAAUCCCCCUCCCCCCAAUAAAAACGUAAAUUGUCCCAUUUUCCCUAUUUCACCCCCAAAAAGUGUUAAAAAAAUAUUUUAUAUACAUAUUUGGUACCACCGCGUGCGUAAAUAUCUGAACUAUUAAAAUAAAAUGUUAAUAAUACCGUACUGUGAACCGUGUGCACGUAAAAAUAAAAAAAAGUCCAAAAUAGAUGCUUUUUUAUAACAUUUUAUUCCCCCAAAAAAUUAUAAAAAAUGGAUUAAAAGUUUUAUAUAAGCAAAUAUGGUAUCAAUAAAAAGUACAGAUCACGGCGCAAAAAAUGAGCCCUCAUACCACCGCUUAUACGGAAAAAUUUAAAAGUUAUGGGUCUUCAAAAUAGGGGGAUUUUAAACGUACUACGUACUAAUUUGGUUAAAAAGUUUGCAAUUUUUAUUUUUACAUUUUUUUAUUUUUAUUUUUUUUAAGCGCAACAGUAAUAGAAAAGUAUGUUAUCAUGGGUAUCAUUUUAAUCGUAUUGACCCAAAGAUUGAGAAACACAUGUCAUUUUUACCGUAAAUUGUAUUGCGUGAAAACGAAACCUUCCAAAACUAGCAAAAUUGCGGUUUUCUUUUUAAUUUCACCACACAAAUAGUAUUUUUUUUGUUGUGCCAUACAUUUUAUGGUAAAGUGAGUGAUGGCAUUACAACGGACAACUGGUCACGCAAAAAACAAACCCUCAUACUAGUCUGUGGAUGAAAAUAUAAUAGAGUUAUGAUUUUUUGAAGGGGAGGAGGAAAAAACUAAAAUUUUAAAAUUAAAUUGUCUGCGUCCUUAAGGCCAAAAUGGGCUGCGUCCUUAAGGGGUUAAAGGGGUAUUCCAGGGAAAAACUUUUUUUAUAUAUAUAUCAACUGGCUCCAGAAAGUUAAACAGAUUUGUAA
This is an RNA transcript of Hyla sarda, 2389 nucleotides long. It is a transcript of the gene named mitochondrial inner membrane protease subunit 2-like, with no coding region annotated. The transcript has 2 exons. NCBI's taxonomy places the organism in Eukaryota, Metazoa, Chordata, Amphibia, Anura, Hylidae. The record is from RefSeq and is a predicted model, not a curated record.